GUGCCCAGAGGGGGAACUGAAAAUGAAGCACUCACACAGGAAAUGCGGUCAGGCUCUGUACCGGAAGCCUUGUUACACGACGCGAAGGCAAUAAUGAACGCAACAUUUGGAAGAUAAAUAUUGGUUGAAAAGAAGGGGUAAAGUGGAGAUCAAAUUUAAACAGCAGAAUGUAAGCCAAUAUAUAUUACUUGUCAGAAUCAACUGCUGCAUUGCAAAUGAAACCUUUGCAGUUUUUAAAGUAUAAGUGUGGCAGAAGGGUUAUGGACUGUGUUUGCAACAUACACAGAAGUUAAAUUUGCUCAUUAACUGUGUGACUAAAGUGAUAAACUCCAGACUGCUCACCAAAAAAACCCUCCUCUUGUCACCAUCCUCCUUCAAUUUUUCACUGUACGCAUCUCAUGCCGCUGUCACUCAGUCUUUGCUCACAGUUUGUGGUCAGGAAGUACUUCUCUGACAUUUCACUGACAAUGUGUUCCACAGUAGUGGCACGCCAAGAGGAGGGUUUUCACAUCAAAAGAUUUACUACAAAAAAAUGGACCAAAUCUGGAUUAUAUAGCAGCACAGUUGUGGAGGCUCAUGCUCAAUGGUGUGUGUUGCAAUUUCCAGCCAUGUGA
This 614-nucleotide long non-coding RNA is filed under the name Oryzias sinensis (Chinese medaka). Its description in RNAcentral is "lncRNA (ENSOSIG00000016433.1)". The record is from RNAcentral. Lineage: Eukaryota; Metazoa; Chordata; Actinopteri; Beloniformes; Adrianichthyidae.